UAGAAGGAGAAGAGAAUCUGGCUGGAGACCCCAGGGUAUUGACAGAUGUGCAAUUUCCUUGAUGGGCAGUUUAAACCUUCAAACCUAGGACAGAAGAGCUGCUGCUUUAGCUGAGGUGUGGCAUUUUUCCUUGGAAUAACUGACAUUAAUUUGGACUCAGUUAAUCCAGUCAAGAGAAACAAAUGGAAACAUGAGUAAUAUGGAAAGAAGCAAGUUGAAGAAAGAUUUCAUGUUCUGUUGUGAUUUUCUCUCACACUGGUCCUGUAUCAUGAUCAGGACAAGUUCCUACCUGGAGAGAUCAAAUCUCCUGUGAUGGAAAAACAACUCCUGAACUUCCAGUAAUCCACAGCCCCUGUAAGACUCUGGAUAAGCUGCUGUGAACAGCCACGGGUCCUCCAGCAUGGAUCAGGUCUAAUGCUGCCUUACCCAGGAGUUGCUUCUGGGACCCCCCUGUUUGUCAGGUAAGAGAAAGCUCAAGGAAAAGUCACCUUUAAUAUCAAAGCAUUCCGUGAAUAUGAGUACCAGAGAACCCUUUUUUUGAACCUCCAGGACCAUAAAAGGGCUUUCAGUAAGAGGUGGAUGCAGGCAAAUUAAUUCUUAGGAAAGUGACAUUUAUGUGUUAUAUAAG
This 628-nucleotide long non-coding RNA is filed under the name Serinus canaria (Common canary). Its description in RNAcentral is "lncRNA (ENSSCAG00000008118.1)". Lineage: Eukaryota; Metazoa; Chordata; Aves; Passeriformes; Fringillidae. The record is from RNAcentral.